Molecule: small nucleolar RNA, 130 nt
Filed under: Aphidius gifuensis
Lineage: Eukaryota; Metazoa; Arthropoda; Insecta; Hymenoptera; Braconidae
Description: small Cajal body-specific RNA 8
Rfam family: Small Cajal body specific RNA 8
About the family: scaRNAs are a specific class of small nuclear RNAs which localise to the Cajal bodies and guide the modification of RNA polymerase II transcribed spliceosomal RNAs U1, U2, U4, U5 and U12.
Source: Rfam by way of RNAcentral
UGGAAGAUUGAUACAUGAAAAUGAUCAAGUUACACAAUUAUCAUCACCAAGUCUUCCAAUAAAAAAAAUGCUUUCUGAUGACUGUAAAUUGUCAAGCAAUAAUUUACAGACAGAUACGAAGCAAACAUUU